RNAcentral lists this ribosomal RNA (545 nucleotides) under bacterium enrichment culture clone Cont80_3130. Its description in RNAcentral is "bacterial SSU rRNA". It matches the Rfam family "Bacterial small subunit ribosomal RNA", at positions 8 to 525 of the family's 1533-position model. The record is from RNAcentral.
AGAGUUUGAUCCUGGCUCAGAACGAACGCUUGGCGGCGUGCUUAACACAUGCAAGUCGAACGCGAAAAGGGACUUCGGUCCCGAGUAGAGUGGCGCACGGGUGAGUAACGCGUAAGUAAUCUACCCCUGUAUCUGGAAUAACCCACCGAAAGGUGAGCUAAUACCGGAUACGUUUAUCUUGAUGCGAAUGAUGAUAAAGAAAGGUGGCCUCUUCAUGAAAGCUACUGUACAGGGAYGAGCUUGCGUACCAUUAGCUAGUUGGUAGGGUAAUGGCCUACCAAGGCGACGGAUGGUUAGCGGGUCUGAGAGGAUGGUCCGCCACACUGGAACUGGAACACGGUCCAGACUCCUACGGGAGGCAGCAGUGAGGAAUUUUGCGCAAUGGGGGCAACCCUGACGCAGCAACGCCGCGUGGGUGAAGAAGGCCUUCGGGUCGUAAAGCCCUGUCAGGUGGGAAGAACAUCCCGGUGGUGAAUAAUCAUCGGGGAGUGACGGUACCACCAGAGGAAGCACCGGCUAACUCCGUGCCAGCCGCCGCGGUAAUA